UCAAGUAAUUAAGUGCAUGUGGUGGAUGCCUUGGCAGUCAGAGGCGAUGAAAGACGUGAUAGCCUGCGAAAAGCUCCGGGGAGGCGGCAAAUAUCCUUUGAUCCGGAGAUGUCUGAAUGGGGGAACCCACCUACUUUAAGGUAGGUAUUGCAACAUGAAUACAUAGUGUUGCAAGGCGAACGAGGGGAAGUGAAACAUCUCAGUACCCUUAGGAAAAGAAAUCAAUUGAGAUUCCCUCAGUAGCGGCGAGCGAACGGGGAUCAGCCCAUUAAGUUAUGUGUGUUUUAGUGGAACGCUCUGGGAAGUGCGAACGUAGAGGGUGAUAUUCCCGUACACGAAAGGGCACACAUAAUGAUGACGAGUAGGGCGAGGCACGUGAAACCUUGUCUGAAUAUGGGGGGACCAUCCUCCAAGGCUAAAUACUCCUGACUGACCGAUAGUGAACCAGUACCGUGAGGGAAAGGCGAAAAGAACCCCUGUGAGGGGAGUGAAAUAGAUCCUGAAACCGCAUGCAUACAAGCAGUGGGAGCACCUUCGUGGUGUGACUGCGUACCUUUUGUAUAAUGGGUCAGCGACUUAUAUUCAGUAGCGAGGUUAACCGUAUAGGGGAGCCGUAGAGAAAUCGAGUCUUAAUAGGGCGUUUAGUUGCUGGGUAUAGACCCGAAACCAGGCGAUCUAUCCAUGAGCAGGUUGAAGGUUGGGUAACACUAACUGGAGGACCGAACCCACUGUCGUUGAAAAGCCAGGGGAUGACUUGUGGAUAGGGGUGAAAGGCUAAUCAAGCCUGGUGAUAGCUGGUUCUCCCCGAAAGCUAUUUAGGUAGCGCCUCGGACGAAUACCAUAGGGGGUAGAGCACUGUUUCGGCUAGGGGGUCAUCCCGACUUACCAAACCGAUGCAAACUCCGAAUACCUAUGAGUACUAUCCGGGAGACAGACUGCGGGUGCUAACGUCCGUAGUCAAGAGGAAAACAAUCCAGACCGCCAGCUAAGGCCCCAAAAUCAUAGUUAAGUGGGAAACGAUGUGGGAAGGCAUAGACAGCUAGGAGGUUGGCUUAGAAGCAGCCACCCUUUAAAGAAAGCGUAAUAGCUCACUAGUCGAGUCGGCCUGCGCGGAAGAUGUAACGGGGCUAAAACUAUGUGCCGAAGCUGCGGAUGUAUACUUUGUAUACGUGGUAGGGGAGCGUUCUGUAAGCCGAUGAAGGUGUGUUGAGAAGCAUGCUGGAGGUAUCAGAAGUGCGAAUGCUGACGUGAGUAACGACAAAACGGGUGAAAAACCCGUUCGCCGAAAGACCAAGGGUUCCAGUCCAACGUUAAUCGGGGCUGGGUGAGUCGACCCCUAAGGCGAGGCCGAAAGGCGUAGUCGAUGGGAAAAUGGUUAAUAUUCCAUUACUUCUGUGUAAUGCGAUGAGAGGACGGAGAAGGCUAAAUCAGCCUGGCGUUGGUUGUCCAGGUGAAAGGAUGUAGGCAUGUAUCUUAGGCAAAUCCGGGGUACUCUAUGCUGAGAUCUGAUAGCAAGCUGUACUUGUACAGCGAAGUGGUUGAUGCCAUGCUUCCAGGAAAAGUCUCUAAGCUUCAGUUACACAGGAAUCGUACCCGAAACCGACACAGGUGGUCAGGUCGAGUAGACCAAGGCGCUUGAGAGAACUCUGCUGAAGGAACUAGGCAAAAUGGUACCGUAACUUCGGGAGAAGGUACGCUGUUGUUGGUGAUGGAACUCGCUUCCUGAGCUGACGACAGCCGCAGAAACCAGGCCGCUGCAACUGUUUAUUAAAAACAUAGCACUCUGCAAACACGAAAGUGGACGUAUAGGGUGUGAUGCCUGCCCGGUGCUGGAAGGUUAAUUGAUGGGGUUAGCGUAAGCGAAGCUCUUGAUCGAAGCCCCAGUAAACGGCGGCCGUAACUAUAACGGUCCUAAGGUAGCGAAAUUCCUUGUCGGGUAAGUUCCGACCUGCACGAAUGGCAUAAUGAUGGCGGCGCUGUCUCCAGCAGAGGCUCAGUGAAAUCGAAAUCGCUGUGAAGAUGCAGUGUACCCGCGGCUAGACGGAAAGACCCCGUGAACCUUUACUGCAGCUUGACACUGAACUUUGACCUUACUUGUGUAGGAUAGGUGGGAGGCUUUGAAGCUGGAACGCUAGUUCCAGUGGAGCCGUCCUUGAAAUACCACCCUGGUAAUGUUGAGGUUCUAACUCUGUCCCGUGAUCCGGGACGAGGACCGUGUCUGGUGGGUAGUUUGACUGGGGCGGUCUCCUCCUAAAGAGUAACGGAGGAGUACGAAGGUGCGCUCAGCGUGGUCGGAAAUCACGCGUAGAGUAUAAAGGCAAAAGCGCGCUUAACUGCGAGACCCACAAGUCGAGCAGGUACGAAAGUAGGUCUUAGUGAUCCGGUGGUUCUGUAUGGAAGGGCCAUCGCUCAACGGAUAAAAGGUACUCUGGGGAUAACAGGCUGAUACCGCCCAAGAGUUCAUAUCGACGGCGGUGUUUGGCACCUCGAUGUCGGCUCAUCUCAUCCUGGGGCUGAAGCAGGUCCCAAGGGUAUGGCUGUUCGCCAUUUAAAGAGGUACGCGAGCUGGGUUUAGAACGUCGUGAGACAGUUCGGUCCCUAUCUACCGUGGGCGCUGGAAAUUUGAGAGGAUCUGCUCCUAGUACGAGAGGACCAGAGUGGACGAACCUCUGGUGUACCGGUUGUGACGCCAGUCGCAUCGCCGGGGAGCUAUGUUCGGAAGGGAUAACCGCUGAAAGCAUCUAAGCGGGAAGCCUACCUCAAGAUAAGAUUUCCCUAGGACUUUAUGUCCUCUAAAGAGCCGUUCGAGACUAGGACGUUGAUAGGUUGGAUGUGGAAGCAUAGUGAUAUGUGAAGCUGACCAAUACUAAUUGCUCGUGAGGCUUGACUAU
This 2891-nucleotide ribosomal RNA is filed under the name Acinetobacter baumannii 44437_7. RNAcentral describes it as "bacterial LSU rRNA". It matches the Rfam family "Bacterial large subunit ribosomal RNA". The record is from RNAcentral. Lineage: Bacteria; Pseudomonadati; Pseudomonadota; Gammaproteobacteria; Moraxellales; Moraxellaceae.